This 427-nucleotide ribosomal RNA is filed under the name uncultured bacterium. Its description in RNAcentral is "partial 16S ribosomal RNA". It matches the Rfam family "Bacterial small subunit ribosomal RNA", at positions 354 to 796 of the family's 1533-position model. The record is from RNAcentral.
GUGGGGAAUAUUGGGCAAUGGGGGCAACCCUGACCCAGCGACGCCGCGUGGGUGAAGAAAUCCCUCGGGAUGUAAAGCCCUGUUGUAUGGGAAGAGCAGAAGACGGUACCAUACGAGGAAGCCCCGGCAAACUACGUGCCAGCAGCCGCGGUAAUACGUAGGGGGCAAGCGUUGUCCGGAAUUACUGGGCGUAAAGCGCACGCAGGCUGAAUUAUAAGUCGGUAGUCAAAUACGGAGGCUCAACUUCCGGAUAUCUAUCGAUACUGUAAAUCUAGGGUAUGUGAGAGGGAAGCGGAAUUCCCGGUGGAGCGGUGAAAUGCGUAGAUAUCGGGAGGAACACCAGUGGCGAAGGCGGCUUCCUGGCACAAUACUGACGCUCAUGUGCGAAAGCUAGGGCAGCGAACGGGAUUAGAUACCCUUGUAGUCC